UGUUUCGGCUAGGGGGUCAUCCCGACUUACCAACCCGAUGCAAACUACGAAUACCGAAGAAUGUUAUCACGGGAGACACACGGCGGGUGCUAACGUCCGUCGUGAAGAGGGAAACAACCCAGACCGCCAGCUAAGGUCCCAAAGUCACAGUUAAGUGGGAAACGAUGUGGGAAGGCACAGACAGCCAGGAUGUUGGCUUAGAAGCAGCCAUCAUUUAAAGAAAGCGUAAUAGCUCACUGGUCGAGUCGGCCUGCGCGGAAGAUGUAACGGGGCUAAACUGUGCACCGAAGCUGCGGCAGCGACACUAUGUGUUGUUGGGUAGGGGAGCGUUCUGUAAGCCUGCGAAGGUGGCCUGUGAGGGUUGCUGGAGGUAUCAGAAGUGCGAAUGCUGACAUAAGUAACGAUAAUGCGGGUGAAAAGCCCGCACGCCGGAAGACCAAGGGUUCCUGUCCAACGUUAAUCGGGGC
RNAcentral lists this ribosomal RNA (467 nucleotides) under Klebsiella aerogenes. RNAcentral describes it as "partial 23S ribosomal RNA". It matches the Rfam family "Bacterial large subunit ribosomal RNA", at positions 911 to 1375 of the family's 2925-position model. Lineage: Bacteria; Pseudomonadati; Pseudomonadota; Gammaproteobacteria; Enterobacterales; Enterobacteriaceae. The record is from RNAcentral.